Molecule: ribosomal RNA, 447 nt
Filed under: uncultured bacterium
Lineage: Bacteria
Description: bacterial SSU rRNA
Rfam family: Bacterial small subunit ribosomal RNA
Source: RNAcentral
UCGGGAAUUUUGGGCAAUGGGCGAAAGCCUGACCCAGCAACGCCGCGUGAAGGAUGAAGUAUUUCGGUAUGUAAACUUCGUAAGAAUAGGAAGAAUAAAUGACGGUACUAUUUGUAAGGUCCGGCUAACUACGUGCCAGCAGCCGCGGUAAUACGUAGGGACCAAGCGUUGUUCGGAUUUACUGGGCGUAAAGGGCGCGUAGGCGGCGUGGUAAGUCAUCUGUGAAAUCUCCGAGCUUAACUCGGAACGGUCAGAUGAUACUGCUGUGCUAGAGUACAGAAAGGGCAAUCGGAAUUCUUGGUGUAGCGGUGAAAUGCGUAGAUAUCAAGAGGAACACCUGAGGUGAAGACGGGUUGCUGGGCUGACACUGACGCUGAGGCGCGAAAGCCAGGGGAGCAAACGGGAUUAGAUACCCCUGUAGUCCCUGAGCGGGCUGGCAAGGCGCAU